UUUCCAAAAAAUGUUAAAAACACUGGAAUAAAAACAAGACCAUGAAGAGCCCCAAACAAAAUAACAAGGAACAUGAUCUUGAAGAAUGUCCUAAAGAUGUAGGUGUUCGCUGCAGCCAGGACAACUACACCCAAUAUCGUAGAAACUGCACCUUGCAGAACUGGGUAACCUAGCAGGGACAGAGCUUCAAUUGCCCUUUUAUUGGCUGACGACUCUCCACUCGUAACAAAGGCAUAGGAAAUGUGAGCAGAGAAAUCUACUGAAAACCCAAUGCAAAUGACCAGGUUGAUCAUGGAUAUGGAAUCAAGGUUGACGUUCCAGAAGGUCAUGAAACCAGCAACGCCAACGAUAACAGAGGCUAUAGCAAAGGUCACCCACAAGCAGCACAGCGGGUUGGGAAUGAGCAGAAGGGAGACAACGAGCAUGGCCCCGGCAGCAACGACAACGUUCUGAACAGUGUUCUGCACUAUCACCAGGAAGCAAUCAUGAUGAACAUGUCAUCAACGCCAACCCCUGCAAGAGGAGAGACUGUUAACGCUGCACUGCAAAUGGCAGCUUCCACCAACACUAACGAAACUACAACAUUAAUCACAUUUCAUUCUGCAUAAAAUCUGAAAAAGGAAGUUGGGCUUCUAACACUGCUCAAGUGCUGAUGAAAGUUACAAGAGAAUCUGGAAAACAGAUCCUUUGUGUGUGGCUGAAUUCAUUACCUUUUAGCACCUCCUGGUGACCUGAUGAGUUGUUGAUCCCUCAGCGACUCUGCUGAAGGACUGAGCACACCCUACUGCAUCUCUGAUAAGUGUCUUGUAGUUGAUGUCCGUGUGUCCCCUGAUGCAGAUGACACAGAUUUCAAAGCACCACAUAUUCUGAUGCUCUACUAAUCUUACCACUGAAAUCAUCCCCCAUUACCUCUGGAAUCUCUUCUUCAGCACUGCAGCAACUUGGACCAAUAAUGUCUUGUUCUGCCUUCAGAAGGCAGGAAGAGCAGUUGCUACCACAUGGGACAAGAGUGAUAUUCCAGUUUUCCAGUGGCUUACUUUUUUAAUGCUCUUUGCCCUCCACUUCUCUCCAGUUUAUCUUCCAGCACUUAUUCAUGAUUUAUUAUUAAUUUCUGUUCACCUUUAUACUAAUGUGCUCACACAUAUUACCUGACAGGUCCCUGGGAAAACCUGCCAGGAAGACUGGAUCCUGGGUUUGGGUUUUUGCUAAGAUGCCAGAGUAAGUGAGCUGAAGUUCAAAAAUGAAGAGCCAAUGGGCUUCUCUCACCUCUGCUAACUCUCAAGAUUAUUAUCUCACACCUUUCAGUAUUUUGCCAUGUUGUCAAGGGCUCUUCUAUUCACUGAAAAUUAACACACAGAAGGAAAGCAAGGCUGCGCAAAUGGCAGAGUGAGAUUUAGCCAAGCACAGAAGAAGAGAGGAAAGUAUUACCUGCUACCUGAAAAGGCAGUUGCCAGUAAACAUGCAAAGAUGAAUUAGGCAGCACAUCAAAAGGUACUAAAGGAUGGCAGUGAGCCAGUCUGCUCCAGAAAGCAAGCAGCCUUCAAACAAAUCCUCUGAUGUACUGAGAAUUUGUUUGCUUUAAUGCAAGGAAGACAGAAGUCUGCGUGUUAUUGCUGAAGAUCUGAAGUGACUGGCUUAAGCCCUUUCCCAGUCUUCCUGCUGUAGCAGUGGAUCUAGAUCAGACCUUGUCUUCUGGGGAAAGCUGCCCUUGCACCAGAACCCAUCUCCAGUCCCACUGUGGCACACUGAGCUGAGCUGAGGGGUUUGCCCAUCUGCAGGUGCUCUGAGAGGGCUGCACCUCUGGGUAUCUCCUACACUCACUUCAGGACAAAGUGUUGUAUCAUCUGACAUUCAUAUCAUAAAAGACUGACACCAUCAGGUUGUUUUAACUUCACUCUGGUCUUUGUAUCUGAAUACAAUUCACUUUUUCUACUUACCCAGAA
Molecule: long non-coding RNA, 1943 nt
Organism: Passer domesticus (house sparrow)
Lineage: Eukaryota; Metazoa; Chordata; Aves; Passeriformes; Passeridae
Exons: 3
Source: RefSeq, a predicted model, not a curated record